GGCAGUUUAGAACUAUGAGCCAAGACAAGUCAUGAGCUUGAGAAUUUGAUACAUUUUUUUGAAGACAAGAAAAGAGAAGUUGAAGUGAGGAUUAUAUGGAGAAUAAAACUGACGACCUGCAGGACUCCUGGGUUGGCAGCCUACCUUGGACCAUCUAUCUCCGUCUCCAAGUCACUGGCCAGAAUGAAAUCUAGACCACGUGUGCAAGAAGGUAAAAAACUACUAGCUCUUGCUCACUAUCAUUGGCCACUGACUUGCAGGAUAUUAUAAUUCAUGUAAGAUGAUUUUUAAUACAC
Chiloscyllium plagiosum (whitespotted bambooshark) is the source of this 296-nucleotide non-coding RNA. The record is from RefSeq and is a predicted model, not a curated record. Lineage: Eukaryota; Metazoa; Chordata; Chondrichthyes; Orectolobiformes; Hemiscylliidae.